RNAcentral lists this long non-coding RNA (3589 nucleotides) under Nicotiana tabacum (common tobacco). RNAcentral describes it as "long non-coding RNA (NTAB_LNC009884)". The record is from RNAcentral. Lineage: Eukaryota; Viridiplantae; Streptophyta; Magnoliopsida; Solanales; Solanaceae.
UUUUGUAGGAUUUUUGAGCCCAAAUGGAAUUAUUGCAAGAGGCCCAAGUUACACCACCCCAAUCUCUAACCCAUAAGCCAAAAUACCUUACCCAUACCCAUACCCAAACCCAUCAGAUUUGUCUCUCAUUUUUUGAACAAAAGACAAGACUAAAAACCCUAGAAGGGACUUCAUCUUCUUCAUGGACAAGAGACAAAACAAAAAACAAACCCUAAGACCAUCUUCUUCCUCAUGAACCUUAGAACAAGACAAUAAUGGAGCAAAAACCUAAAACCCAAGAGACCUAGAGCAACCAUCUGUCAGCCAGCCGCCGCCGCCUUACCCGCAUAAACCCUAGACCUCCAACUCCAAACGCCCACCAUUAGACAGCAGCCGUCGGGUGCUUCCAGCUCCCACCUCCGUCUCUUCCACGCCCAGCCGUCACCUUCUCCGACACCAGCGACCAUCUCCUCUAGAACACAAACCAACAACAGCCUCAUUAUCUUCUUCUCCAACUCGAAUAACCCUAGACCCCUAAGUUGCCGGCUAGCCUGAACCUGCCGGAAAACAGCCGCAACACCCAACAACCAGACCCCACCACUCCCAGAACCGUCGUCAGCCACCAACAGCUCCUUAUCCACCUUAUCGACCAAAGACCUUUCAGCUUCUCUUUCUUUUUCGAACCUAGAUACACACAGCCGCCUAUUCGUCUUCUUCGGAACUCCCUCAACAACACACGCACACCCAGAAACAGAGUGAGGGAGAAUGGGAUAAGAGAGGGAGAACCAGCAGAUUGCCGCACACCCUUGAGCUCCAUAAAAACAGUGAGAACAAGGAAAAUUUAGACUAUGGAGUCAAGCUAAGGUUAUUGAAAUCGACGUUGUCCGGAGUGGUUUUGAGUGUGAUUCGGAGUCGAGGUUCACGGUUCCGGUUUUGAUUGUUGUUUUCCUAUUCGUCUUCUGUCGCACUUUAAAAUUCCAAUGUCGGUCUGCCUGUUUUCGUUCUUGAACAUAUUAAAUCAAAAGUUGCUCGCAUUUAGGUUCAUAUCCUUGCUCUUUCUCUUAUUUUAUUACAGUAUUGAACAUGAAUUUGAGGUGCUUGAUUUUUCUUAAGUUCCUACUGAUGAUCUGAUUGCUUUCGUUCGUGACUUGAAUAUCAUGAGACUGUUAAGUACAUUUUGAGUAAUUUAAGUUUGAUGUGUACAUGAUACAUGAAUAGAAUUCGCUUGUUCAUGUGCUUCAUAUGUUGAAUGUUUGUGUUCAUAUUAUCGUGUACGUUUCUCUUUAGGGAGUACUUGGUCGUGGGAAGUUGGUAAGAUCGAAUCCCGUUAGAGAUUAAACAUUGUUCGCGUGCUUUAGGAAUCGGGCUCGGUCUAAACUAUGAAACAAGAAGUUGAAGAAAAAUGAGCAUGGACUAAUUUUAUUUUAGUUUUAUUUUAUUUUAUUUUAUUAUAAUUUCCAUUACCCGCUAGUAGCAUGCUUAGGCCGACCAUAUUUGGGUAGGCAAUCUUAGCAUUUUUCUAUUUGUUUGCUUUUAAUUUUGAGGCAAGAGGUCGUUUCUCGUAGUUAAAUCUAUCUGAGGAAUGCACCGAAGAAUUUGUAAUAUAUUUUUAUCCGGGGUAUGCUCCGAAGUAUCAUGUAUUUGGAGGUCAUGACGAACAUUGUGGAGGAAUUACAAUGUAGGAUAGCUUUUAUUUUUAUUUUUAUUUUUAUUUUAUUAGGUGGGGACGACCUCGAGCCUCUUGUGUGUUUGUUUUUCUUUUCUGUGUUUAGUUAUACCUCAAUUUGAAUAUUUUAAAAGCCAACUAGAUCGAAUACGCAACCGUGACUUUCACGGGACUUGGGGAGUGGAUAGCACCUUCUCCCCGAGUCAAAUAAACCCCCUUAUCCAAAUCUCUGGUGUAGACCUAGUUUUAGAGUUCAAAGUGUUUUGAAAGGAAAAAUUAUUUUAAAAACGUUGACCUGGCACACCGAAAUCAAUGCCAGGUGGCGACUUUGAGUUAAUCCUUUUGAAACGAAUUUUUGUCACUUUCAAUAUUGGAAAACCCUUUUCAAGCUUUACUAAAUCCUUUUAUAUUUUAAGAGGGUUAAGUGAGGUUUUUUAAAAAAAAAAAGGGUGUGACAUCUCUGGCGACUCCGCUGGGGUGUUGCAGGUUCGAGCUAGUACUUGAUCUUGUUGGCUUUUAGGAUAUUAGGUUGAGGUUUUUAUGUGUUUUGUUUGCUUUAUUUGAUUUUUAUUUUGUUUAUGUCUUUUAUUAUUUUCUAGCUGCUUAUUUGUUUACAAUUUUUUCGUAAUGUGUUACUGCUUUAUAAACUGUCAUCAUUUGCAUAACCAUGGGUCUUCUUUCUGAAACAAGUCUCGGAGUACGCGUCGCGUGCACGAACUCUUUGUUGAGUCACCCUUACUUUAGGAGGGGGGCCGUCGGACAUAUGGAGUGGGUGGAAAGCUUGAGCAGCCACCAUCGAUCAUACGCUCCCUCGAAUUGCCUUGUUAGUGAACCCCAAACUUAGGUCAGCCUUUAGGUCUCUUUUAUUUGCAUCAUUCCAUUUACACCUAGCAGGGCUCUGUCCCCGGUACCGUGUCCCUUUAUAGGAAGCCUAUUCAAAUUUUGUCAAAAUGGGCCCGUGGCCCAAAAAGACAUUCAAUCAUCCCAAUAUGAUGCAUUUUGCAUCUUUGGGGGUAAAAGGUCAUUUGGCGGACCAUUGUUUGGGAAAGAAGGGUGAAAAUGAAGCAAGUAGGGCCCAAUUAUAUUUUUCUUUUACAACUUUUUCAAGAAAAGACAAAAAAAUGAAAAUGAAGAAAAAUCCAAAAAGAUUUUGCACUUUCCCAUUAUUUUUCAAAAAAAUCAAAAAAAAAUGAAAAUGAAAAAUUCAAAAAGAUUUUACACUUUUCCAUUAUUUUCCAAAAAUUCAAAAAAAAUGAAAAAGAAAAUCCAAAAAGAUUUUACAUUUUUCAUCAUUUUUUCAAAAAGACCAAAAAUAUGGUUUUUCCAAAUUAGUCGCAUUUUAAAGGCUUUCUUCCAUGUCCAACCUUCCCGAACUACGCGAACCUGAUUCUCGUCUUCCGGGGUGGGAUACAUAGGCAACCCACAUAGGGUCCGGUCUUCCUAGUAAGUCUUAGGUUCUUGGCUUUGCGGGGUCCUAGCCAAAUCUUGUAUGUUUAGCCACUUUUGGCCUCAUCGGCCAUUCUUGCAAAUGAGGUCAUUUUCGCAAAAAGUGGUCCAAUUAUCCAUGUCUUAGAAUCUUGAGUCCACAACUAGGUGUCAUACUACUUUAAGGUCCGUCCUAUUGAGUUUGCAUCUUUAGUCACUUCUGGCCAUAUCAGCCGUUUUUGCAAAAUGGGUCGUUUCUGCAAAUUGAUUUUGGGCCAUGAUUAUUGGGAGUUGAAUUCAUUUAAGCCUUAUUGAGGUAUUCUCAUGUCUUUUAUGUCACAUUUGUUGAGUUUGUGCUAAUAGCCAUCCUUGGCCACAUAGGUUAAUUUUGCAAUAGUAGCACAAUCUUGUCUUGCAUGUGUUCAAUAGGAGGCGUGGCGCCACAUGUGUCUUGAGUCACUAACUCUAUUUGAUCUUAUUUUUUCCAUUCAGGUAUAUAUCAAUUUGCUAGAAUUUGAG